Molecule: long non-coding RNA, 6075 nt
Filed under: Sus scrofa (pig)
Lineage: Eukaryota; Metazoa; Chordata; Mammalia; Artiodactyla; Suidae
Description: lncRNA (ENSSSCG00055014638.1)
Source: RNAcentral
GUCUCCAGAUGCGUGUCUACUGCUGAGUUGCAGGGGAAACCAGCAAGCAUGGUGAUCCGUGCCCCUGCUCACCUCUCCUCUAAGACCUGGCACUGCCCAUCCACCUGGACGACUUCCUGCUUUUCAGAUAUCAGAAUGCAGGUGUGCCUGUGGAGUGGUACAACUGCAUCCUUUUCUCUCAGCGCAACCCGAGUGGACAUCGACACGUUCAGAUUUAGCAGAGAUUCUUUUUUUCGCCAGUUCUUUCUACCCAUUAAAUGUGUUGCAGUAUCGGGAUUUGCCUGUGUGAGUGGCUUUAAAAGGAGGAAACCAGAGGACAAGAGCAGUUGCAUAUUGACGGUGUCAUGGAUGCCCUCUAACUUUAUCCAGUAGAGCUGUGGCAAGGAUGAAGAGAGUGAGCAUGUGUAAAGGGCUGCUGGUUGUGCACUCCGUGAACCUCUGCGCUUAUGGAAAGAAGAGACAUUUUGCUGGAAGGUUUGGGCUUCCAACUUUCCUGCUGACCGAGCUUGAACUGCUAGAAGGGGAAAAACAAACAGAGAUUCCACCUGCACCACGAGCCGGCCCCAGAGUAAACAUUCCACACACAUCGGCUGGGUUAUCUCCAGAAUGAUCCUGCAUGGCUGGUGCUGUUAUUAUCUCCAUGUUACAGGACUCAAAGAACUGGUCAGGGCUUAGCAGCCCCGGGACAACCUUGCCUGGAUGGAAGAUUUCACCUUUGGCGGAAAGGAGGCAAACUCAGCCAUGCUCUCAAGCAAAUUCCAACUGGGAUGCAGGUUUUCUUUCUCUUUUCCUGUUCCCCCUCUAGUUUAGAAGAGCUACUGCAUUGGCUGAUUCCCCAGGUUAGGAUUCCAAGGAAGCAAAAGUAAGAGUUAUUUCUUCAUUGAGCCUCAAGAGCCCUUUCAAUCCACUUGUUGUUGGCCCCAAGCCAAAGCCAGUUACCUUCUGAUGGAAAGAAAUGAUUUCCGUGUUAAUAUGAUUUGUAUCUGGCAAAUCCAUGCAGCCUGCUGAUUAUCAUCAUAUUCCUGGCCUUCCGUUCUUUUCAAAAUGACAGGCUAUUGAUCCAGCCUUCUCCCAGUUUUGAAGUUUAUGGAAAAGGACGUCUCCACGGUACAGUUCAUUCCCACUGGUCCUCGAGCUGCAGGGGAGACAUGUUGACUUUUGAAUUUCAGGUACUUUCCCUGCCCCUUUCAAUGAGGACCAAGCACUAAGAAUCUUCUGAUGCCUACCAGGCACAAUGCUGAGCCCAGAGUCGGCCCUCAGAGCUCGCUGAGCAGAACGGAGCUGGGGGUACCUGUCUCUCCCACCCUCCUCUGAGACUUUGCCCUUUAAAUUCAUCAGUGGCAGCACCGUGGGUUCUCUCCGCAGAGGCAGCGGCAUAGCCGGGCAUCUUCUCUUACCGACACUUUCUCUGUUUGGUGUGCGCUUAACAACCACCUUGAGGCUGGGUGAGAACCAGACUUGUUUUGAGGGACUCUGGGAAGGCAGAGCUGGGCUGUGGCCCUGGGUAUCCUGGCUCCAGGCCCAGUGCUCUUUCCCCUCAUCUUAUCCUCACAUCCCUCUCAGGCACCCUUCCAAGGCAGGCAGCGUAGCCCCACCAGCACUUAGACGGCAUCUUGGCCCUGCCGUUCAGGAGCUGCGGGAUCUUGAGCAGAUGUUAUCUUUCUAAGCCUCAGUUUCUCCAUCUGUUAACUGGAGCUAAGAAUGCCCCGGUCAGCAAUCCUCAGGGCCAUUGCACAAGUUAAAUGAGAUGAUGCCAGUGAAGCUUCUCACACAGAGGUUAUCUCUGAGUUAGGGCCCAAUAGCUGUUUACUGGUGUGACUGGUGAUACUAUUGUUCUUUGGGGGAAACUGUUCUCUCUCUGAGCCAAGACCAAUGGCUCGAUCCGUAGGUCUUUCCUCAGCCUUGGUCUGGAUGUGGUCAUCAUUCCUCCAUCCACCUCCCUUUCUUAUUCUCUAAAUGAAAGAACCUGUCCUUUCAGCCAAAAGAAUUUGUCAGUGUUACCUGAGUUUCUAAGAUAUUUAGAAAGCCUCUUUCAAGGAGAAUCCUUAGAGACAGCAUGAAAAGAGAGUCAGGCCAGACAUCUGCCCCAUGAGGAGGAAGCCCGGAUUCUGGCCAACCACCUCUUCCCUCAUCUUCCUUUGUGGAGCAGAAACUUCACUAGAGACUGGAUUGAGCUGGCCCCCUGGUCUGGAUGUGGCCCUGAAACAGCACUGCUCAGCUGCCUCCAUCCCCUCCCCACCCAUCUGGGUACCAUGUCCUGCUGACUCUGUCUCCAUGACUCAUCUGAGUUUCCCUGUCAAACCCAGUGCCACCACCCCAGGCCAUGCUCCUCAUGCAUGGACAAUUAACUAGCCACUACCUAACGAGUCUUCUCGCCUUCAGGUUCUUAAGGAAUCCAGAACUCUGGACCAGACUGGGCUUCCUGGAGCCUGGCGCUGUUGGUGUGCCUUCUCAGCAGACUCCCACUUUAUAAAGCAAGCUUCUAAGCCUAGGCCAGGCAGAAUGUGGCCAACCCUGUCCCCCUGUCUCAUGUCACUGUCCUCCAUUAGGGCUGCACACCAUGUCCCGCACUCACGUUUCCCAAACACCCAUCCAAGGUGCUUUGAAAAAAUGAGUGUUCCGAGGCAUGACCCAAAUCUACUGAGACUUACUGCAGGUAGAUCCGGGGAAUCUAUAUUUAUAAAAGUGUUCCAGGGGACCAAAGCCCCAUCAGGGGUGGGAACCACUGUGCACAGGGCUGCCAGGGAGGUCUGUGCUCAGCCCCCACGCUUAUCACAUACUCCCACUUCCACACAUGCCACCCUCUUUGCCCACCAUCCAGGCUCUGCCUGCUAAUUUCUCCCCAUCUUUCAAGGCCCACGUCCAAGAACCUCUCCUCCAGGAAGUUUCUCCAGAUUCCUCCAGCAGAAGUAUGCCUCAUCUCCCAACAUCCUGUCCUCCCUCUCUGCUAUAUUCUGGGCAUCCCUUAAAGUCUGCCUCCACUGCCUCAUCUCCUGGCCCCUGGACAAAAGGAAGAUGUCGCUGUGGCUGGCUGCUCUCCAUCCUUUCCCCAUCCACUUGCAGAUAAUAGUAUUUAUGGAAUAGGAGCCUCUUAAGGAUUCAUGAGCUAUCCAUCUAGAGGACUUUGAAUUGUGCCAAGAGAUGUUAGCUCUCCGAAUCCUCACAGCCAUCAUGGCAUCUUCAUUCAGGUUUUUGGGGUUAUUUGUGUGCCCACAUUUUCUCCCUCGAGUUCCUGUUGACAGCAAGACUGUCCUGUUCCUCUUCCCACCCACUGCGACACUUGACACCAUACAGCUUUGGCAUGUAUACAGGACAUGUCAUAGUACUGGCUGGAUGGUGACAUGCUCUGAUACGGUUAACCGCUCCCCCUGUACCACUCUCUUCUCUCCCCACCUGGCCCUACCACUGCAGUUUGCCCUCAAAGAACUUAGCACUCUUAGAGUUUGUAAUUAUGUCUUUACUUUUUGCAAUUAUUUGAUUAUCAUCUGAUAUUUUCACCAAGUUCUAAGUUCCCUGAAGGCAGGGAUUUUAAAGUCAUUAAUUAGCCACCCCUAAUUAAUCUAAAAUUGAUUCAUUAACCUACCAAUGGACUUUUUUUUUUUGGUUCUCCUAAUUAUACUAAUAUAAUAGAGGGGGUUCUGAAUAGUAGAGCAAUUAUGGUAAACGAGUUCUACGAGUAGCUAGAACUAUAUUCAGUGACCAUAUCAGAGUCUAGAUCAAUCAGAGCAUAGUUAAUUGGGUUAUUGACGGAGGUACAAGGUAGGCUUCAAUGUGGGCUCUGCAGUCAGGUGGGCUAGUUUGGGACAAUCUCACUUGUUACCUGUGUGACUAUAAACAAGGCCGUGACUCUACGCUUCUCAUCCGUAAAAUGGAGAUAAGAGUAGAUGGACCUCAUAGGAUCACUGGGCAUGUGAAAUGCUUACUCAGGAAGUUAGUUAUUAUGACGAUAAUACUGCUGACUUCCAAAUAACAUCAAACGAACCUAAUUAAAUGUUUAUGGGUAAGAUCAUGGGCUUCCAUUUUCUUAUCUGUGGGGAUAGUUUUUAUAAUAAAAAUGAUGAGCUGUUUACAAGGGAACAAUAAUGAUGGAGAUUUAGGGCCCAUCCAAGUACAUCCCAACCCCUGACCAGAAAUAUACUCACUUUAUAGAAAAUAAAGUCAUCACAGGUUUUACUUCCUCAAGGAAAGUUUAAGCAGAUUUAAAUUUUUCCUCAUAGAAAAACUAAAAUGAGUGAUUUGGGAACCAGGACAAAGAAAAAAAAGGGAAGGUCUCCAUUCAACCCCAUUCACCUGCUCUUCCAGCUGUAGGGCACUUGCCCUCCUGGAACUUUGAUGACAAACACAGAAUAUCACUGUGACCUUAAUAAAAUCUAGAGCCCUGCACUGUUUACGCACAAGGUCAUAUUCGAAAUCACGCAAUGCAAGGCCCACAGGCAAUUAAAGGGGAAUUGCUCAUCUUUAUUAGUAUCUCCCAAAGUACAGUUGGCCCUCUGUAUCUGUGGGUUUCACAUCUGAAAUUUCCAUCCACAGGUAGGAGAUGGAUAUGGAGGGCCGGCUAUAUUCAUUGUUCUCCAUUAUUUUAUGGAAGAGACAGGCCCAUUCAUGGAUUUGGAUUCACCUGGAGCCACCCCCAGGCAUACUGAGAGACAGCCGUACAUUAAAAGGGACUCGGGUGUUGCUGUUGUGGCUCAGCCUGUUGAAAACCCGACUAGUAUCCAUAAGGAUGCAGGUUCGAUCCCUGGCCUCACUCAGUGGGUGGAGGAUUCAGUGUUGUCGUGAGCUGUGGUGUAGGACGCAGAUGAGGCGUGGAUCCAGCAUUGCUGUGGCUGUGGUGUAGGCCAGUAGCUGCAGCUCCAAUUCGACCCCUAGCCCGGGAACUUCCAUAUGCCACAGCUGUGGCCCUAAAAAGAAAAAAAAAAAGUGAUUCAGUUCAUAGGUCACCAUAGUAUAUGUCAGAAGCACCUCCUCUCUGCCCUCAGAGAUGCUAUUUGGAGAUACUCCAAACCCCAGAUGCUUCCUCAAGCCUCAGCCCCUGGUAAAGGGUGUAGACCUUUCUCCUCCUACCUCCCUACUUGCUCCUUCUAUUGAUUGACCUCAUCCCUUUACCUCCCCACCCCCAACCCCUUCCACCUACCCCCUCUUCCCACAUCACAAAAGAUCCUGGACUGGGGCUGAUUAAAAGCUCUCCUUUACUGGAGGAGUGCUGGGCAGGGGCAGGCGGCAUAGAGGAUGACUAUCGUCUUUCCGGCUCCCUCUUUCAGAAACUGAAAAUUCUGUUUCUUUUCUGACUGUAGGUCACUGUCAUGGAACUGUUGACUAGGAUACGUAACUCAGGUUAGGUCAACCAGAUUCUCCCUGCUACCUCUCCCGGCAGCAGUGCCCCAGUGAGGCUCCUGAUUGGUUCCUGCCUUCCCCACCCCCUUGCUACCCAGACCUCUGCCACUGUCCAAGCCCAAUUCUUCAAUUUUCUCUACACCCUGCGAGCUGUCAAAAAUCUUUCCAACAAAUGUGUCUGCGUAAUUUGUCCACGUUGAUUUCUGUUGUUUGCAACCAAAGAACACUAGGUUAAUACCAAAAACUCUCAUAUUAAUCCAUCUUGUCACCAUCUCUGUUUGUGAGAUUACAGCUGCAGACCUGGACCAAUGAACCUGAAUUUAACUGAAGUAAUUUAUGGCAACACAAGGCCAAAAAGCAGCCUCCAUCAAAUUUGCUUUCUGGAGUUCCCCUUGUGGCUCAGAGGGUUAAGAGCCCAACAUAGUGCCCACGAGGAUGUGGGUUCAAACCCUGGCCUCGCUCAGUGUGUUAAGGAUCCCUUGUUGCUGUGGCUGUGGCAGAGGCCAGCAGCUGCAGCUCCAAUGUGACCUCUAGCCCUGGAACUUCCAUAUGCCACAGGUGCGGCUGUAAAAAAACUUUUUUUAAAAUUUGCUUUCUACUACCAUUUCUCAUUCUCUAACAAAAUCAUUCGGACCUACCUAAAAUUCCUGAUGAGGCAAAGAGUAAUGGUUACUCAAACAUUUUGUAAAACCUAUGUUCACUUUCUAGAGGCUAUGUUCAGUAAUAAAAAUAACAUGUACC